This 468-nucleotide ribosomal RNA is filed under the name uncultured bacterium. RNAcentral describes it as "partial 16S ribosomal RNA". It matches the Rfam family "Bacterial small subunit ribosomal RNA", at positions 28 to 507 of the family's 1533-position model. The record is from RNAcentral.
GACGAACGCUGGCGGCGUGCUUAACACAUGCAAGUCGAACGGAAAGGCCCUGCUUUUGUGGGGUGCUCGAGUGGCGAACGGGUGAGUAACACGUGAGUAACCUGCCCUUGACUUUGGGAUAACUUCAGGAAACUGGGGCUAAUACCGGAUAGGAGCUCCUGCUGCAUGGUGGGGGUUGGAAAGUUUCGGCGGUUGGGGAUGGACUCGCGGCUUAUCAGCUUGUUGGUGGGGUAGUGGCUUACCAAGGCUUUGACGGGUAGCCGGCCUGAGAGGGUGACCGGCCACAGUGGGACUGAGGUACGGGCCAGAGUCCUACGGGAGGCAGCAGUGGGGAAUAUUGCACGAUGGGCGGAAGCCUGAUGCAGCAACGCCGCGUGCGGGAUGACGGCCUUCGGGGUGUAAACCGCUUUCGCCUGUGACGAAGCGUGAGUGACGGUAAUGGGUAAAGAAGCACCGGCUAACUACGUG